AGCCUACUAGCUGAAUUGGUAGAGCAUUGUGAAAAUGCAUAAAGAUGUGAGUUCAAAUCUCACAUAGGUUC
Non-coding RNA from Spinacia oleracea (spinach), 71 nucleotides. Lineage: Eukaryota; Viridiplantae; Streptophyta; Magnoliopsida; Caryophyllales; Amaranthaceae. The record is from Rfam.